Molecule: long non-coding RNA, 638 nt
Organism: Passer domesticus (house sparrow)
Lineage: Eukaryota; Metazoa; Chordata; Aves; Passeriformes; Passeridae
Exons: 5
Source: RefSeq, a predicted model, not a curated record
UCAUCAGAGCAAAGCCACAAGUCUACAGAAACCCCAGAGAGCACACGGUGGUGGCCAGUGAGCUGGGCUGUCAAAUCCCUCAGCUCCACACUCAGUUCACUGCACUCCACUUCUGGAGGUGUUCAGUGAGGAUGGACUACAAAUCUGAAGGGAUUUUUGUUACAUCACAAUGGCCAGUUUCAACAACAGUAGAACUUGAUCCCAUCACAAACCUGCUAUUUGCAAUUUGUGAAAGUAUUUGUUGUCUGUUUUCAUGUUCAACAUCUUGCCAACUGAGUUGGCCAAAAUAGUCAUGGCUCAUGAAUAUUCCAGUAAUACUCUCUGAAUGCCUGUUAUGAACUAAUUUGAUUGUGGGAGAAACAUCUGUUCAGUUUUGGAUGCCCUUACUCAAGAAAGUAGGACCAGGCAAGACUUUCUUGCAGAAGUAACAUAGGCAGGCUAGCAGAUCUACUGUUCUGGCUUAACAGGAAAUCAACAGAGAGACGAAAGUCAGAGCCUCUCUCUAAGAGGAUGGUCACGACAUGGACAUUUAUAUCCCAGGAACAUUGUCUCAACAACACCUGGAGGAGCACAGGAUGAUGCAAGGAUGAUGUUACCUGUGACUUGCCCAGGUACAAAAUUAGUAAUAAACAGCAGAG